CAGGAAAGCGGAACCUCCACUCCAACAGGCUCGCCCAGGGUUCGUUCCCCACCCUGCUGUGAGGAUUAUGCUGGUAGGCACAGCCCACUUAAACCAGCAGAGAAGAUACCUUCCUCUCUUAAAAAAGGUGGUCGUGAUAGUGGAAUGGAUAACAGAAAAAACAAUAGGAAUAUUUCUGGGGAGUUAAUAGGGAUAAUGAAUGCUAAUCACCAUUCGCUCUGAAUGUGUUGAAUUUUAAAAAAAAUGUAAUUUUCUUUUUUGUUAACAACUCAAUGGUGUGAAAGUGGGUAGAACCAGAGCUUCUGAAUGUAGAAAAAAUGUUGUAACAGUACCAACUAUACAUUUUAUGUUGUCUCCACACUUACUGUCAAAUUCUGAUGCAGAAAACAUGUGCUAUGGAUUUUCUUAUGUAUAAUGUAUCUGUUAUGUCAUAUAUCAAUUUCACAUUGAUCAAGAAUAAAAUGACUUAAUUCAAUAUGAUUUUUAAAAAUCAAUGAUUUAUUAUGUCUAUAAAUAUGCAUAGGAGAGAUUAUGGGAGUUGGGCACUGUGAACAGUGGUGGCUUACUUCAUUUGAAUUUCAUGAAUGAAUACCAACAGCAAUGUCUGUGAAAGUCAUUUGUCUAUUCACAAAUAUGGGACAACCACUAUUUGCUAUGUUUUAUAAUUUUUCUUUAGCACAGCGCAGUUUAUUAUCAUAUAUUAGUUCAUUUUUAAAGAUUGUUAUUUAUAGUUGAACUUUUAAAAUAGAAAAUAUUCUUUGUUUUCUGUAUGAAAAUUAAAAUUCAGAAAAGUUACACUGUCUUGUAGUUGACCCUAAGGCCAUGUCUCUUUACUACCCUGGGCUAGAGGGUCCUGGGGGUGGGGAGAUAACAUUUGUUCAUUC
This is a long non-coding RNA of Phyllostomus discolor (pale spear-nosed bat), 884 nucleotides long. RefSeq lists it as uncharacterized. The record is from RefSeq and is a predicted model, not a curated record. The transcript has 2 exons. NCBI's taxonomy places the organism in Eukaryota, Metazoa, Chordata, Mammalia, Chiroptera, Phyllostomidae.